Long non-coding RNA from Numida meleagris (helmeted guineafowl), 1947 nucleotides. The record is from Ensembl. NCBI's taxonomy places the organism in Eukaryota, Metazoa, Chordata, Aves, Galliformes, Numididae.
AGAUAAUACCUGAGCUGGAGGAAUCAGAUCAGAACAUGAAUGCUUUUGUUGUAAUUCCAACUCAAAGGAAUAUUUUUGCCGUAAUAAAACCUAACAGUCUUAAGUAGCUUUGAUUUUCCAUUGCAGUAUUGUGGCUUUGUCCCUGAGUAGCAUCACAGAGCUGAAUCUUCAGCUGGUUGGUUUACCUGUGAGGUAAAAGCUAAGGGUAUUGAUUUAUCUGGGACUCCAUUGCUCUGAUUAAACAAAGACUCCAACCCACUGUUGUUGAUAAAGUUACCUUGACGUGCAAUGGCAGAGUAUCAGUAUUAGCAUCAAGUUGCCCAGCCCUAGGGACACAGGGAGUAAGAUAAUUAGCACCACAAAGAGUCCAAAGGUACUGGAAGUUAAAAAUAGCACCUGGGUAAAGAAGCAGAUUUCAUAGGAACUGAAAUUUGGGGAGAAAAAUGGAAAGCUGGUGUGUUUGCUAGAGAAGGUGAAGCUGGUCAUGCUUUGACUGGAGUCCUUACAUAGAAAAUGCAGCAACCCUGCACCUCCUGGAUGAGACCAACUCCCAGUGAGUGUUUCUCCCAGGGAGAAACAAAGCACCCCCUGCCUCCCUCCCACAUUCUUCCUUUUGAUUGCUUGUUUACCUGCUUUCAUAUCAAAGACAGCUUAGCUGCCUUUCAUCUCAGCUAUCGCUAUCACUGAGGAACAAACUUCAAAUCAGCCUUCUUGGGAGCUGGCUUCUCAGGAGCCCUUCCUCAAUAACAGAUUCCCGAAGCUCUCAUCUUACUGCAACAGCAGACAUGAACUCGAGGAAUCACCACCCACCCAUGGCUCAGCUGGAGGAGGCUCCAGGGUGGGAUGGAUGAGAUCAGUUGUUGCUUACCCACACGCAACCAGGAUUCCAAGACCAGAUUGCUCUGAGUGUCCACUUCAAACGAAUGGAGAAGUCCCCAGAAUGAUCUCCAUGGACUUGGACUUGCACGUCACCUGGCAGUAUCUCCUGCCCAUAGGAGGCCAGAUCUGCAGGAGAGAGCUAAAAGUAUCCCAUUCCCAUUGGGAGCAGAGACCUGAGACAGCAGCAGAAGGACAGAUGGAAACCCAGCAUGGCCUAACCCCUGCAAACAUAUUCCUGCAUGAUAUACACCAUUAAAGAAAAAAGAUGAAACUAAAGAAGGGGGAAAUCAUCAGCCUGGAUCUUUGGGUGCCGCGCUUCAUGGCUGGCACUGCUGGAAUGGGAUUUCUGACCAUUCUCUCCAGACAGCCAACACAAGAGACCAAGAGAUGGCCCUACAAGCUGACUUUGUGUCCAUUUUCUCAUCUGAUUAGUUGUAGAUUGUUCUAGACAGAUUAUUUUGGAAGUCCCUUUCACAAGUGGGAAUCCAAGACAGAGAGAGCCCUUUUGCCUUGGAGGAAUGUCUCGCUAUUUUCUCUGCUUCACUUUGGGUCUCCUCUUUGGAAUUCAUCUCACCUGACUUCCAGUGUUUCAAAUAUAGACAUUUCCACCCAGGCACAUCACCCUUAAGCCCAUCUGGCAAAGUCUGGCUCUUCUCCAUGUGGCUGGAUAACUCCUAGCCCUUAUUCUGGCUGGUUCUUGGCCAUACUCUUCCUUGGAGAUGGCACUUGGCAUCCAGCACUUUGCCUCAUUUGGCUAGAUCCUGCCCUUGGCCACACGCCACUGGGGUUUGCACCCUUUUCUCCAUCAUUAUCACUCUACUCAUCUACUCUUCCAAGCUUUGCCCUGCUUUUCUUCCUCCUGUUUGUGGUGCAGAUGGCUUGCAUGACCUCAUGGCAUUGCUGGAGCACUGUCAGGGAGCCCAGGGGGUCCUUUCUUGCUUCUCUUCUGUCCUCAACAGGAUUCUAAACCCCUUUGGGAAAUAGGUUUCCUGUCCAUCCCCCAUCACUUGAGCACAUUCACACCAUGUCUCCUUAUUGCUGUUGCAAUAAACAUACCAGGCAAACCCA